This 270-nucleotide ribosomal RNA is filed under the name uncultured bacterium. RNAcentral describes it as "partial 16S ribosomal RNA". It matches the Rfam family "Bacterial small subunit ribosomal RNA", at positions 793 to 1055 of the family's 1533-position model. The record is from RNAcentral.
GUCCUAGCCGUAAACGAUGAGCACUAGGUGUUGGCCCCGUCUUGGGGUCAGUGCCGCAGUUAACACGUUAAGUGCUCCACCUGAGGAGUACGGCCGCAAGGUUGAAACUCAAAGGAAUUGACGGGGGCCAGCACAAGCGGUGGAACAUGUGGUUCAAUUCGAUGCUACGCGAAGAACCUUACCCAGGCUUGACAUGCAAGGAGUAGGGACCUGAAAGGGCGACGACUCGUAACCAGUCGAGAUCUUGCACAGGUGCUGCAUGGCUGUCGU